Molecule: transfer RNA, 71 nt
Filed under: Triphoturus nigrescens (highseas lampfish)
Lineage: Eukaryota; Metazoa; Chordata; Actinopteri; Myctophiformes; Myctophidae
Description: tRNA-Ser (UCN)
Rfam family: tRNA
About the family: Transfer RNA (tRNA) molecules are approximately 80 nucleotides in length. Their secondary structure includes four short double-helical elements and three loops (D, anti-codon, and T loops).
Source: RNAcentral
AAGAAAGUGACGGACAGGCAACGUAGCUGUCUUGAAAGCAGCGCAUGGGGGUUCGAUUCCUCCCUUUCUCG